UACGGGAGGCAGCAGUGGGGAAUAUUGCACAAUGGGCGCAAGCCUGAUGCAGCCAUGCCGCGUGUAUGAAGAAGGCCUUCGGGUUGUAAAGUACUUUCAGUCGUGAGGAAGGUGUUAAGGUUAAUAACCUUAGCAAUUGACGUUAGCGACAGAAGAAGCACCGGCUAACUCCGUGCCAGCAGCCGCGGUAAUACGGAGGGUGCGAGCGUUAAUCGGAAUUACUGGGCGUAAAAGGCACGCAGGCGGUUAAUUAAGUUGGAUGUGAAAUCCCCGGGCUUAACCUGGGAAUGGCAUUCAAGACUGGUUAGCUAGAGUCUUGUAGAGGGGGUAGAAUUCCAUGUGUAGCGGUGAAAUGCGUAGAGAUGUGGAGGAAUACCGGUGGCGAAGGCGGCCCCUGGACAAAGACUGACGCUCAUGUGCGAAAGCGUGGGGAGCAAAC
This 439-nucleotide ribosomal RNA is filed under the name uncultured bacterium. RNAcentral describes it as "bacterial SSU rRNA". It matches the Rfam family "Bacterial small subunit ribosomal RNA", at positions 340 to 773 of the family's 1533-position model. The record is from RNAcentral.